Molecule: ribosomal RNA, 606 nt
Filed under: Salmonella enterica
Lineage: Bacteria; Pseudomonadati; Pseudomonadota; Gammaproteobacteria; Enterobacterales; Enterobacteriaceae
Also listed under: 1 other name
Description: partial 23S ribosomal RNA
Rfam family: Bacterial large subunit ribosomal RNA
Source: RNAcentral
AGACCCGAAACCCGGUGAUCUAGCCAUGGGCAGGUUGAAGGUUGGGUAACACUAACUGGAGGACCGAACCGACUAAUGUUGAAAAAUUAGCGGAUGACCUGUGGCUGGGGGUGAAAGGCCAAUCAAACCGGGAGAUAGCUGGUUCUCCCCGAAAGCUAUUUAGGUAGCGCCUCGUGAAUUCAUCUCCGGGGGUAGAGCACUGUUUCGGCUAGGGGGCCAUCCCGGCUUACCAACCCGAUGCAAACUGCGAAUACCGGAGAAUGUUAUCACGGGAGACACACGGCGGGUGCUAACGUCCGUCGUGAAGAGGGAAACAACCCAGACCGCCAGCUAAGGUCCCAAAGUCAUGGUUAAGUGGGAAACGAUGUGGGAAGGCCCAGACAGCCAGGAUGUUGGCUUAGAAGCAGCCAUCAUUUAAAGAAAGCGUAAUAGCUCACUGGUCGAGUCGGCCUGCGCGGAAGAUGUAACGGGGCUAAACCAUGCACCGAAGCUGCGGCAGCGAACGUAUCACUUAAAGCGAUUCAGCGGGUUACGAUUGACGGAGCGAAGCGACGUCAAAGCGUAUACAAAGUCGAGUCGGUUUAAGGAUACGUUCGUUGGGUAGGG